AAGCUCUUGAAUCAUGGAAGUAAUGCAUGAAUGCAUCAAGUAAUCCGGAUCAGAAUAGUAAAACCAAAGAAGCACAACUUUUAUUCCCGCAGAUAGUCUUAGCCUAGGUUACAUAAAUUAAUGCAUGAAUGCAUGAGCAGCAGCUGCAUGCAAUAUUAUUGAACCCAAAUCACAACAAAAGGAAAACUUAAGACAAUGCCACUUUCGCAGGGAACGCGAUUGCAUUUAGCGUAUGCAACAAGCCUUUUAAACCUAUAGGUGACCCUGAUAGGACGAGUGAAGUCUCGUGAGGGUUUCCAGUGACGCUACCCACAAACAUCGUAUUAACUUAACAGGAUGAUCAUCCUGGAAGUUUUUCGACAAUGAAGAAAUGUUCAUGGGUGGGGCCUCCAGGUUCUGCAAUGAGGGCAUUUUCGAACUCGUUUCCAGAUUUUGGCUUUAAAAGGUUUCCCAUUUUCUCAUGGUGGAACUUGUAUAUGCCUUCGGUGUACGGUCCUGGUGGUUUCACAACCUCAGGCUUGAAGAGUGUACAUGACCACAGCGUUUUAUUUGGCUGUUUCUCGUCAGCCCCGGCCACAAUCCACGAACUGUCUUGGCUUGCCGUUAUCCAGUAUUUGUCGUUGUAGGUGGAUUUUAUAUGCACCAGACUGGGGAGGUUUACGUCCUUCUCCACUUUGAACCUUGCGUAUUUGCUCUGAACAUCCUCUCCGGAGCAUUGGAGAAUAUCUUGCAUCUUUUCGGUGGCUUGGUCUUUGUAGACCAAGUAUUUACCGCUCGUGAAUGAUUUAAGAGCAAUGAACUUUGGUAAUUCUGCCAUUUCUGAUGAUCUCUCGCUCGCGCUUCAAUUUUUUUUUAUGUAAACUCACUUCUCUCUCUCUCUCUCGUUGCUUAUUGCUUUUCCUAACUCCAACCUGCUGUGCUAUUUAUAAUCAAGCAAACCCAAACCCUGCAUGCAGCUCUGGCUUCUUUUUCUUGCUGUACUGGCCCGCGAUAAGAAAAUUGAAGCCACAAAAAAAAAAAGUCGAGCCAGGUGGCAGUUUUGAAAGGUCAAGUAAUAUUGUUCUUGAUAUAAAACAAACUAAAGCGUGCUCCACGUCUUCAAAUAAAACAAAGUUAAGGCUAGUAAUUAUCGACAUCGAUAUUUUGCGAUAUUAUCGUCGAUAUUGUCAAUAUUUAUACGAUAUGUACAUGGAUAUGUUUCGAAAUAUCCGUGAUUCAAAAAAACCGAAAUAUCCUCGAUAUUUCCUCGAUAUUAUCGAUAUUUCAGACUAUGAUGUGAACUUGAUUAUGUAAUUUCUACUACAUGCACUUAUGGGACAUAACCAUUUAUCAAUUAUAAUAAUGUCACAUAAAAAUUGAAGCCACAAAAAAAAAAAAGUCAAGCCAGGUGGCAGUUUUGAAAGGUCAAGUAAUAAUGUUCUUGAUAUAAAACAAACUAAAGCGUGCUUCACGUCUUCAAAUAAAACAAAGUUAAGCCUAGUAAUCUAUUCUCUGUUGUAAUGUGAACUUGAUUAUGUAAUUUCUACUACAUGCACUUAUGGACAUAACCAUUUAUCAAUUAUAAUAAUGUCAUCGACUAGGACUGAACAGCGACGGCUGAAGGCCCAGCUCAUUCUUAAUCUUAGGCAACACAUGUGCUGGGUUUCAUUUCAUAAAUUCAUAACCAAACCAAGCUAGGUCAUAGAAGGAAGCAAAUUAAGCAAUUGAAAUCCACAUCGGCUGAAAAAAUCUCUCUUGAAAAACCAUAUAAUUGGAGGGUCUGCAAAACUAGACUGUGUGUACGUAGCCAACUUUAUUAAAAUGCCAAUUCAAGUCCUAUGAACACACAUUUCCUUGAAAGUUGCUGGCCAAAUUUUCUUUGUUUUGGUUUUCAAUGAGUUCGAUUUCCUUGAGCAUCACUGAAAAGAUAUUAUAUAUGUGAAAUCUUUUUGUCAGUCUUUGAAUUUACCCAAUGUGGGUGAUCAAUUUUUAUGAUUGCAUUCUAGACUUCUCCUUAGUACAAAACAAAACUACGUGAUUGAUUGAAACGUCAUUAAUUAAUUUAGACAUAUAGGCAUUUGCAUUAAUUCAUUCUAGAUAGUAGAUACACAUCUCCAUAACGCAGAAAGAAUUAGCAUGUCCUUAAUGUGAACUUCGUUAAUAAAUUGAAGAGGAGUUGGAGAACAGUUAGAUGAAUGAAUUAAAGAGGAGUUGGAGAGACGCGGAUGCAAGGGCACACUAAGAAAACUACAGGGUUUAUUUAUAGUUUUAGUGCUAAUAAUGGGUAUAUGACUAAAUAUCUCUAUAAAAAAAAUUAGUGAAUUUAAUCAGAAUGUAAUGACUUAUAGAAUUUUACCUUGGGGCACUUUAAGUCCGUUCCUCCUUAAUAAAGCAUCACUUAAUAGAUUUGAAUUAUGAGCUGAACCCUCCCACCCGCUAAAAACGUAAAUGAAUUCUAAAUCAAAGUUACAAGCUACUGAAACCAUUUAUCAAUUAUAAUUAUGUCAUUAAUUAGGAUUGAACAAUAUGAUUGUAAUGCCAUUUCUAAAGCGUGCUUCACGUCUUCAAAUAAAACAAAGUUAGGCCUAGUAUUUUCUUCUUUAUUGUUUCGGUGCUUAAUGUGAACUUCAUUAUGUAACUUCUAUUACUUGUACUUAAGGGCCAUAGCCAUUUAUCAAAUUAUAAUGAUGUCAUUAAUUAGGAUUGAACAACAAGGUCGUUGAGAUGUUUACAUACUUUAAUUACAGACAUAUGAUAAGUUUAGGAGAGUGAUAUGUAGUUUCAAUUAUUCCUUUCACACAUACCCUAAACUUUAAACCCUAAACCCCUUUCUCUUAAGCAAAAUCUAUCGGUUUUGGGUAAGUUUGAGACACUUGUGGACGAUUGUUUUUAAUUUGGACCCUAUGAAAAUACCUGUAGGAUGUCUAUAUAAAUACCUAGAGAAGGUUAAAUAGGCUAAUUCGAUUUUUGCAAUGAAUAAUAAUCAACUUUUGAAGUAGGAUUGAUAUGAGUUAUCAAUCCUGAAAUGUGCAGAGCUUAAAAUAAAAGAACACACAGAUAUUUAUUUUACGUGGUAAAACCCCACAUCUGGGGAAAAUCCACGGGACUCCUUAGUCCAGAACGAAUCCACUAUAGAAUUGAGAUUACAAGAAGUUCUCACACACACUUAUCCUAGACUCAAUGUUUACCGACUUAUUCAUAAUGUUUACCGACUUAUUCAUAACUCAACUUUUGUCAUGGGAUGAUCUUCGACACUCCUUAUGUUGAACGCAAUAUUGGUCACGAUUGCUUCAAGCUCACCGGAGGAUAAACGCCACAAACGUCUUGAUGCCCUUGACCGUAUGAGCCACUGACAUGCAUAUGUAUGCAAUAUGAAUGAUGAAUGAGUUUGAUAAAUCACCAAGCAACCAGGAGCCCUUGAUGACUUACCGAGAAAAAUAAGUACAGUAGCUUUUCCAAAAAACAGAUUCAAUAUGCUCUCAAAAUCAAUGCGUUGAAAUGCUACACUAUGAAAAGAAGACACCUUGGUUUUAUUCAAAACAGGUUCUCUCAGUCAAGAGAAACCUACUUGACCACCAAUCCAAUUCACGAAAGACUUUCAACCUUAUUCAACUACCACACAACAAAACCUGAUGCAAUAUGGACACUAGUUAAACAUGUCAAACAGGAGACCACUCAUACUGUUCAAGCAUGAAUGUUUCUUUUGAUUCAAUUUACAUGCUAUGUGAUGAUGCCAGCUAAUGCACGAUGUGAGGAAACCUCAUGACUUUCUACUACAGCCAAUCCUUUAAAACAAUAUCUACCUAACAAAUUAAUUAGACCGAUCAAGUAGGAAAUAAUAUCAAGAGAUAAAAUAUAAUCUUAUUGAAAAUAGGAUUAACAUAAAAAUACUUGAGUGAAAAUAAUUUCAAUUAGGAGUCCUAUAAUGAAUGCAUGAUUAUGUUAUGAUUUACCUGUUGUCAAGUUUCUCAUAUGGUCAGGUCAUGCCUCGGAAGUAUAGGGUUGAGAGAGUUGUGCCAAAGCGUCCAGUAACAAUUCCUCACAAACUAAUUUUCAACUUAUGCUAAAGUCUAGGAAAUGCCAAUACGAUUUUCGUACUAACACCCUACAAACAAAUAAAUUAAAGAAAAAAAAGUAAAAGAAGAAAAGAAUAUAAAUUCAUAUAUCUCAAUUUCUUGUGUGAAGCUUUUAAAUUCAUUUCAAAACUAAAAUUAAAAUUUAUUUGUUUUGGUUUUCAAUAAGAUUAAGUUGGAUUUCCUAAAGCAUCAUCACUGAUCUGAUGGCAUCAGAUAAGUCUUUGAAUUACCUAAUGUGAUUGAUUGAUUGGAAUGUAUCCUUAAUACUAAAAAAAAACCAUGUGAUCGACACGUCAUUGAGCACUUCCACUCUAUCGGCAAGGGCAAGGCAAGAGCAAGAGUUUAGGAUAAGAUUUUUAGUUGCCACUUGUCCAUAUUUAUUAUAACAUUCACAUCUCAAAUUUCAUAUAAAAUUUUCGAAUAAGAUUUUCGAUUGCCACGUAUCCAUAUUUAUUAUAAAAUUCACAUUUCACUCAUCAUACAAUUGAAAUACUUGUUCACUCAUCAUACAAUUGAAGAUAUCAAGAAAUUUCGAAAAUUGGGCAUCCACUUUGUUUUUUCGAAGACGUUGAGGGAACGGAAUUGGCGGUACAUAUGGCUUUACAAGGGCAGCAGGUUGAGAUAAUUUCUCUACAGUAGCAGGUUCAAUUUCUGGAGAAAUUUCAUCAAGUUGUGCAGUAGUUCCAGCAGUAAUAGACGACGACGACGGCACGUUAGUAAUUUCUGAUGUCUCUGCAGUUUGUUGAUGGAUAUUCUUUUCUUCAUCCAAGUCUACUGCUGUUUUUAUUGGCCUCCCAUUCCAAAGAGUUAUCGCCCUCGCAUGUUCUUGGUUUUUCGGAUUAUUCUCUGUUUGGCUUGGCAAAGCUCCAUUUACUCUUCCUGUCAAUACAUUAGCUAGCUGGCCCAUCUGAACCUCCAAGUUUCGAAUAGAGGCAGCUUGGUUCUGAAGGGUCGUCUCGGUUUUGCUCAUAAAUUGAUUUGUAUUGACAGAGAGAGUGUUGACAUUUCCAGCAAGUUGAGUAAUUAUAUCCUCCAAUCCAUGCUUCUUUUCUUGAGGUGUGAAAUCAGGUGGAGGUCCCUGUACAUUUUGGUUAUUACUCCAUGGAAAAUUCGGAUGGUUCUUCCAUCCUGGGUUAUAAGUGUUGGAGUAAGGAUUAUUCCGUUGUCGAUUAAAAUUAGAGACUUGGUUCACUUGUUCAGAUGGUGAUGUGAAUGGACUAGCUCCACACUCAUUGCCAUGAUGAGGUCCUGCACAAAAUUCACAACUUAAAUUAGUAUACUGAAUAGCAUUAACAUUUAUAGUACCAAGUUGUUUAGACAUAGUAGAAAUUUGCGCAGUUAACGCAGAUAUGGCGUCAAUCUCAUGAAUUCCAGCUUUCUUUGGUGUUGAUCUCUCACUAGGCCAUUGAUAGUUAUUUGACGCCAUCUCUUCCAGCAAGUUAUACGCUUUAGUUUCUGUUUUUCCCAUCAAAGCUCCUCCGGCUGCAGCAUCAAUUGUUGUUUUGCUUGUAUUGUUCAAACCAUUGUAGAACGCUUGAACUUGCAUCCAAGUAGGUAGGGCAUGAUGUGGGCACUUCCUUAGCAUAUCCUUGUAUCUGUCCCAUGCUUCAUAAAAAGGUUCCAUGUCAUUCUGAGCAAAUGACAUGAUGUCAUUUCUGAGUUUCGCAGUCUUUGCAGGAGGAAAGAAUUUAGCUAAAAAUUUCUUGGCCAAGUCGUCCCAUGUAGUAAUCGAAUUAGGUGGUUGAGAAUUCAACCAUGACUUUGCCUUUUCCUUUAAUGAGAAAGGAAAAAGCCUUAAGCGAACAGCAUCAUUGGUAGCUCCAUUGCGCUUAAAUGUGUCACAUAUCUCCAAGAAAUUAGAGAUAUGCCUAUUAGGGUCUUCUUGAGGUAAACCACAAAAGAUGGAGGAUUGUUGAAUCAUUGAAAUUAUGGCUGGUCUGAUUUUAAAAUUAUUGGCAUCAAUGGUUGGACGACGAAUGCUCGAUGGUGAUGCCACCACAGAUGGGACAUCAUAGUCCCUUACUGGUUUUGCUUCCACAGCCAUAGGUGAUGGCUUUUCCAAUAUUGCGUCCUUGCCCCUUUUGAGUUUGUUAAGCUUGUGAAGUGUUCGCUCGAUCUCUAGAUCUAAUGGUACAAGCACAAGACUCUGCGAACGUCUCCCAAAACUCAUGCACUAGGUGAAGUACCUAAAAAAACAAAAAACAAAAUUCAAAUUAAAAUUCAAAUCAAUCUAUAUCGAUAUUAAUAAAAUUUAAAACACUCUCCGACGGCGGCGCCAAAAACUUGUUGUGAUAUUUAUUGCAAGCGCACAAUUCGCACAAGUAAUAUAGUGAUGAGUGAAGUGUCGUUCCCACGAAGAGUGAUUUAAUUUAACAAGUACCGAUUGUGAUUAACCCAAGACUUUAUUUGAACAAUUGAUGAUGAGAUUUGAUUGAUUAAUUAACUAAAACAAUGAAUAAAAACAAGCGUAGAAAAAUAAAGUAGUGAGAUUCAAGUUAUGAGAGCACUAGAGCUUCCGAUUUCACCAUAGCCAAUUCUACCCAAUUCCUUUAGCAUGUUAAUCCUAAUUAUUCUCUAUGUUGACAGUUGAUUUUCCCUACUUUAUUCGAUACUCCAUCCCUGGUUAUACCAAAAGUAUUCUUAUUACCAACCCACUCUAUCCCUAGUAAUGGAAUUAAGAUAAUAAGAACCCAUUAAAUUCCUUGGAAAACCUACAAAACAACCACAUAAGUCAUGACAAACAUCUCUGUCUAAUCAUGUAACUCAUGACAUCUAUUACAAGAAGCAACCCCAAAUUGGAUAUUCCUAUUUUCAAUUUAGCAUCAAAACAAUUAAAUGUUGGCCAAACAUUCAAAGCAUUAAGCAUGGUAAUAAAUACUCAACAUGGAAAAAAUACUUGGAAUUAACAUCGACUAAAGUAAUUGAGCAUUCAUGGCUAGGCUACAUCGUAGCCCUAGCAAGAAGAAAUUAGUUCAUGACAACUUUAAUAAAAACCAUGAUAAAUAGUAUCAUAGGAAAGAAGUAACCAAUUGAAGAUUUGAUCUCUGCACGACAGCAACUCUAGCUCCAGGUUGUCUUCUUUGUCUCUCUAAAACUCUCUCAACAAUAGAUGAUGGGUAGAUGAUGGAGGAUGGAUGAUGGGUAAUGGAUCCUUUCAACAAUGACCUAAACUCCCUAUUUAUAAAACUCCUAGAAAUCCUACCUAAAGAAUAAUUACAAUUGUUAUAAAAAUAGGAUUCCUUCUAAAAUAAGGUCUUCUUUAUUUCUCCUUGUUUAACUUGAUAAGACUUGCACCAUCUUGAACUAGGAAAUUUGACAACAUUCCUUGCAACAAAAGGAAUGACUUGGCUUCUUUUUUUAUUGAUUUUCAUCUCCUUGCCUUUUUUAGCACACUUUCUCCUAUUUCACAAUUCCUUCACAAAUCUCACAAAACUAAUUAAAAACAACCAAUUUAAUCCAAGAAAUUAAUAAAUAAAUAAGCAAAGGAGGCAUAAAAUAUAUAUAAAAUAUAGACUUAUCAAAUACCCCCAAACCUGUCUUUUGCUAGUCCUCGAGCAAAACUGAAAAUCAAAAAUAAAUUAAAACAAACAAACUAAAUUAAACCACUUUUGCAGGUAAUCUCGAUGGCACUUAGCAUGUGCCACAAGCCUUUAAACCUCUAGGUGCCCCUAGUAGGAGGAGUUGUGUCUCUUGAGGGUUUACCAGUCAUGACACCCACAGACACUUCUUGCAAAACAAAUUCGUUAAAGCAAUACUUCCAACAAACUAAUAAUAACCAAUGAAUGCUAAUCACAAUUCAAAAACUAAAGUUAUGCCACUACAAAUAAAAUGCACCAUAGUGUAAAGUGUAAAGUGUAAAGCCAAAAAUCCAACAUUGAAACAUAAAGAUAACCACAUUAGGCGUGUGUACAAAUUCGUCUCGACUCUAGGCCUUACUGGAUAACUCUCAAUUUUCUCACAGAACCUAGGGUUGCACUCUUACCCCGCAUAUGUGAAUAAAGUUAGGUGAAGAAUUCAAAAUAUAAGACACAUAUGCAUCCAAGAAUCAAUAAAAGGAAAUUUCUAACAAUAGAUCUCAUGGAAAGGAAAUCAAAUACUAAAAACCAUAGAUGAAGUACAUACCUCUACUUCCGAGUAAGAAGUCCCCAAAAAUCCGUUAGGUCUUUACUAUGGUUGUAAUGAAGGGCUAGGUUAUGGGUUAUGAAAGAAAAGGAAGGAAAUACUAGAACUUGAGACAUGCCAAGGCAUUUAUCACGUUAUAAGGCUCGGCUCUUCAAAUUUACUUCACAGAGGCGUCCAGGAUUUUUGAUAUGCUUCACAUUUUUUUUUCUUUAAUAGAUUUCUCUUUUUUUUUUUCCUUUCUUUUUAUUUAUUUAUUUAUUUUUAAGCACAUAUUUCCUCGGUACACGCCACCUCUUUUGUUAAUUUAGAGAUUAACCUUCAUCCUUGUCUUCAUGCCAUGGCAUAUCCCAAGUUAUAGGGUAUGGCUAAAAAUAGGGUGAAAAGGGUAAGAAAAUAUUGUGGGUGAUGAAAGAAAAGGCUAAGUGUUUGGCUUCAAAGGGUUGAUGGCACACACAAUGGGUAGGACAUGAGUUUUUAUUUAGUGGCUAGAACAUGCAUAGCCUAACAUCAUUUCUCAAGGUCCAUCCAACUCAAAAGUAAAAGCAUGAGAUGAUUCCAAAAUAGAGAGUAGUUCUUAGUAUUCAACUCAAAAGCCUAAUUGAGAUCAAUUUAAAUAAGAAAGAAAGAAAAUAGUGAAUAAGACUAAUCCCAAAUACUCUCUCAAUGAAUGGCAAUUUGGCUCAAGUAUCUCACAAUGGUAGUCUCCACUAUUUCUCCACAAUCAUCCAAGUAUAGCUAGCUUGUCUAUUAAAAUACUUGAAGCAUGGCCAUGUGAAGUGCUAUACUUAUGAUGCAUAAACUUUCAUGGCAACACUUUAGUUAAAGAAAUAUGAUCAAACAUCACAUAUACAUCACUAUUAGUAAGAGAAAGUAAAAGCUUUAACAAAUUUUUUUUUUUUUUUUAAAAAGUUAAAGGCAUUUUGUGAUUUUUUUCAAACAAAUGUGAGUGAAUUUAUGGGCCAUAAUUGCUUAGGGAUAAAGAAAUUUCAUCAAAAGGAAGAGGACACACCUGGAAUAGCUCCUAGAAACCUCUGAUCACAAAUGGAAUGGAUCAUAAUUGAUUUGGAAUGAAAUUAGAAAAUUCUGGAAAAUUGACCUUUAGCGACGAAAAAUCUGAUGAAACACCGUCGCUAAAAACCCUUUUGUGACGAAAAAUCUUCAUAUUCUGGGUAGGUAGCAGCUAGUCUUUUUUGGGUUUUAGGCCACUUUUUUAGCUUCAAAUCUCCCUAAAACGUCAUGUAAAGCACUUGAGACCCCCAAAACAGUUUCAAAUCAUCAUAAUAACCAUUCUAAACAUGUUGGUGGCUUCAAAUUUGCCUGAAAAACAUCAAAAAGGAAAAUAUGUAAAAUUUUUAAUUUUGACCAAAAUAAGAACAUAAUAACCUAUUUUGCUAUUUUCUGGGUUUUAAAGUCAUCUAAUGGCCAAAACAACAUCUGGAACAUGUUUGCAAUCAUCACGGGGCUAGAAAAAAUCGAGAAAUGUUCUUUGAAACACAAAAUCCUUUCUUUGGAACACAAAAUCUUUUUUUCUUUUUUUUUUCUUUAUGACUCAAAACUCAAACAAAAAACAACUAAACUCCACACCCCCAAAUCUAAAUUAAGCAUUGUCCUCAAUGUUUAAAGUAAAUGCAUGUAAAAAUUAGUAAAGGCAUAGAAGGAUGGAAAAUAAAGGGAAAACAAAACAAAAUAAAAUAAAAAGGAACGAAGGUACCUAGUUGGGUUGCCUCCCAACAAGCGCUUGAUUUAUAGUCCCCAGCCCGACUUGCGAGGUCAUCACUUUGGAUCAUGUAGAGGAAUGAAAGUUCGCUGUUGAUCAAAAUUGACUUCCAAGUAUGGCUUCACUCAUUGGCCAUUUACUUUGAAAAUAGUACCUUGUUCGUCAUGCCUAACCUCAAUAACUCCAGAAGGAAAUACUUGCACUAUUGUAAAUGGUCCAGACCAACGUGAUUUCAACUUCCCGGGAAAGAGUCGGAGGCGGGAAUUAAAUAGGAGAACUUUCUAACCAGCGAAGAAAUCCUUCCUUAGAAUAUGCUUAUCAUGCCAUUUCUUUGUACGCUCCUUGUAUAUCUUGGAAGUCUCAUAAGCUUCAUUACAAAACUCAUCCAUAUCAUUCAAUUGAAUUGCCCGUUUUUCUCCUGCUGCAAUCAUGUCAAAAUUGAGUGUUUGGAGUGCCCAAUGUGCCUUAUGUUCGAGCUCAACCGGUAAGUGACAAGCUUUCCCAAAAACUAGACGAUAAGGAGACAUGCCAAUUGGUGUUUUGAACUCCGUUCGAUAGGCACAUAAGGCAUCAUCCAAUUUCAGUGACCAAUCCUUUCUUGAAGCACUCACCGUCUUUUCCAAAAUUCGUUUUAAUUCUCUAUUGGAAACUUCAACUUGUCCACUAGUUUGUGGAUGAUAGGGAGUAGUAACCUUGUGGGUAAUACCAUAUUUAGCUAAAAGAUAAUUAAAUUGACGAUUGCAAAAGUGUGUACCUCUGUCACUGAUGAUGCCACGCGGAGUCCCGAAUCUGGUGAAAAUAUUUUUUUGGACAAAUUUGACAACCACCUUGGCGUCAUUGGUAGGGAGAGCGACGGCUUCAACCCAUUUCGACACAUAAUCAACAGCCACCAAUAUGUACUUGUUCUUCCAAGAUUCAGGGAAAGGUCCCAUGAAAUCUAUUCCCCAGACAUCGAACAAUUCAACCUCUAGAAUAUUAUUCAAUGGCAUCUGAUUUCUGCUAGAAAUAUUUUCAGUGCGUUGGCAUCGAUCACAGGCAGCUACAAAUGCAUAGGCAUCCUUGAACAAAGUUGGCCAAAAAAAUCCAGAUUGUAAUACCUUGGCUGCUGUUUUGGAGGCACCAAAAUGCCCCCCACAUGCCAAUGUGUGGCAAUGUCGCAAUAUGUCUUCCAUCUCCUCCUCAGGCACACAUCUCCGUAUAACUUGGUCAGGGCAAUGUUUCCACAAAUAUGGGUCGUCCCAAUAAUAAUGUUUAACCAAGGAGAAAAACUUCUUCUUCUGAUGAAACGAUAAAUCAGCUGGAAUGAUAGUACUAGCUAAAUAAUUCACAAAGUCAGCGUACCAAGGAGCUUCGGAUGAUCGAAUGGCAUACAAGUGUUCAUCAGGGAACAUCUCCAUAAUGGGUGCAGCAUCAUCACUCAUCUUUACCUCACUGACCAGCCGCGAAAGAUGGUCAGCUACCACGUUUUCGGACCCCUUUUUGUCUCGAAUUUCAAGAUCAAAUUCUUGGAGCAGUAGUACCCAGCGAAUUAAUCGUGGUUUUGCAUCUUUCUUCGAAAGUAAAUACUUUUAUCCAAGGAGAAGAUUACUACUAACAAUUCUUUCUCCGUGGUGGUAUAAUUCCGCUGGGCGUCAUUCAAAGUACGACUGGCAUAAUAAAUUACAUGAAGUAAUUUAUUUCUUCUUUGACCCAAAACUGCCCCUACCGCAUAGUCACUAGCAUCACACAUAAUCUCAAAAGGCAAGUCCUAAUCCGGUGCGACAAUGACAGGUGCAGAAGUAAGCUUCUCUUUCAAGACAUUAAAAUUAAAUUCUACAUCUUUAAGAAGGAGAUUGCAUAAGGGCUUCGUGAUUUUGGAAAAAUCUUGGAUAAACCGCCGAUAAAAUCCAGCAUGACCCAGAAAGCUUUGAAUCCCCUUUAUUGUAGUGGGCGGUGGCAAUUUCUCUACGGUAUCAAUUUUUGCCUUAUCAACCUCUAUGCCUUUAGCUGAAAUUUUAUGCCCUAGGACUAUCCCUUCUUGCACCAUAAAAUGGCAUUUCUCCCAAUUCAAAACCAAAUUGGUUUCUUCACAUCUUUUCAAAACUAAUGCCAAAUUAUGUAAACAAGAAUCAAAUGAUGAGCCAAAAACAGAAAAGUCAUCCAUAAAAACCUCAAUGAAGCGCUCCACCAUGUCCGAAAAGAUGCUCAUCAUGCAACGUUGAAAGGUGGCAGGGGCGUUACACAACCUGAAAGGCAUGCGCCUGUAUGCAAAAGUGCCGAAUGGGCAUGUGAACGUCGUCUUUUCUUGAUCUUCAGGUGCAAUUGGAAUUUGAUUAUACCCAGAAUAUCCAUCUAAAAAACAAUAAUAUGAAUGCUCAGCAAGUCUUUCCAACAUCUGAUCAAUGAAAGACAAGGGAAAGUGAUCUUUCCUUGUCGCAGUGUUCAAUUUCCUGUAGUCUAUGCAGACAUGCCAUCCUGUAGUUGUUCUUGUCGGGAUCAACUCAUUCUUAUCAUUUUUCACCACUGUAAUACCCCCUUUUUUCGGUAGGACUUGAACUGGACUCACCCAACUACUAUCUGAAAUCGGGUAAAUUAUUCCAGCAUCUAAUAACUUUAAUAUUUCAGCUCGCACAACUUCUUUCAUAUUCGGAUUUAAUCGACGCUGAUGCUCAACUGAAGGUUUAAAAUCAUCUUCCAUCAGAAUACGGUGCAUACACAUGGAACGGCUAAGUCCCUUAAUAUCUGCAAUAGUCCACCCUAUUGUCGUUUUAUGCUCCCUCAAAACUCAUAGUAAUUUAUCUUCUUCUAGUUUACUCAAAUUUGCAGCAAUAAUCACAGGAAGAGUUUCAAAAUUACCCAAGUAUGCAUAUCUUAAGUGGGAAGGUAGGGGCUUCAAUGUGAGGGUUGGUGCAGUAAUGACACUGGGUUGUGGCUUGGAGGUUGUGACGCUAAGCUCCUCAAAUUCGCGCCACCUUCCAGGGGGGCGCGGUUUCAUUGCUUCCAAAAAGUACACCAUCUCAGAAAUUUUAGGAUCCUCAUGCUCAGUAGUAACGGAAUGCACAAGGCAAGCCUUCAAUGGAUCAUAUGGAUGUUCUUCUUUAAAUUUUUCAGAGACAACUUUUUCCACUAUAUCCACUCGGAAGCAAGAGUCUGAUUCCACUGGGUACUUUGUUGCUUCAAAGACAUUGAAGGUCACCUGCUCAUCAGCCACUCGCAAAAUUAAUAAACCUUUGUCCACAUCAAUUAAUGUCUUCCCGGUUUUUAGAAAGGGGCGGCCUAAGAUAAUAGGGGUUUCGGCAUCUUCUUCCAUGUCUAAAAUCAAAAAAUCUGCUGGAAAAAUGAGCUUAUCAACUUUGACUAACACAUCCUCAAUUAUGCCUUUGGGAUAUGUUAUGGACCUGUCCCCCAUCUGCAAAGAAACAGUGGUUGGGUGAAUUACCCCCAACCCAAUAUGUUUAGCAAUAGAAGAAGGCAUUAGAUUAAUACUGGAUCCUAAAUCACAUAAAGCUUUUUCAAAGUAAGUGGUUCCAAUAGUGCAAGGUAUAGUAAAACUCCCUGGAUCCUUUAGCUUAGGUGGUAGCUUCCUCUGCAAAAUAGCACUGCAUUCUUCGGAUAAUUUCACUAUCUCAUGUUCGCCCAAUUUCCUCUUCUUUGAUAUAAUAUCCUUCAUGAAUUUGGCAUAACUCGGCAUUUGCUCCAAAGCAUCGGCAAAAGGAAUAUUUAUUUGUAAUUUCUUGAAGAUAUCAAGAAAUUUCAAAAAUUGGGCAUCCACUUUGUUUUUUCGAAGACGUUGAGGGAACGGGAUUGGCGGUACAUAUGGCUUUACAAGGGCAGCAGGUUGAGAUAAUUUCUCUACAGUAGCAAGUUCAAUUUCUGGAGACAUUUCAUCAAGUUGUGCAGUAGUUCCAGUAGUGAUAGACGACGACGACGGCACGUUAGUAAUUUCUGAUGUCUCUGCAGUUUGUUGAUGGAUAUUAUUUUCUUCAUCCAAGUCUACUGCUGUUUUUAUUGGCCUCCCAUUCCGAAGAGUUAUCGCCUCCGCAUGUUCUUAGUUUUUUGGAUUAAUCUCUGUUUGGCUUGGCAAAGCUCCAUUUACUCUUCCUGUCAAUACAUUAGCUAGCUGGCCCAUCUAAACCUCCAAGUUUCGAAUAGAGGCAGCUUGGUUCUGAAGGGUCGUCUCGGUUUUGCUCAUAAAUUGAUUUGUAUUGACAGAGAGAGUGUUGACAUUUCCAGCAAGUUGAGUUAUUAUAUCCUCCAAUCCAUGCUUCUUUUCUUGAGGUGUGAAACCAGGUGGAGGUCCCUGUACAUUUUGGUUAUUACUCCAUGAAAAAUUCGGAUGGUUCUUCCAUCCUGGGUUAUAAGUGUUGGAGUAAGGAUUAUUCCGUUGUCGAUUAAAAUCAGAGACUUGAUUCACUUGUUCAGAUGUUGAUGUGAAUGGACUAGCUCCACACUCGUUGCCAUGAUGAGGUCCUGCACAAAAUUCACAACUUAAAUUAGUAGACUGAAUAGCAUUAACAUUUAAAAUACCAAGUUGUUUAGACAUAGUAGAAAUUUGUGCAGUUAACGCAGAUAUGGCGUCAAUCUCAUGAAUUCCAGCUUUCUUUGGUGUUGAUCUCUCACUAGGCCAUUGAUAGUUAUCUGACGCCAUCUCUUCCAGCAAGUUAUACGCUUUAGUUUCUGUUCUUCCCAUCAAAGCUCCUCCGGCUGCAGCAUCAAUUGUUGUUUUGCUUGUAUUGUUCAAACCAUUGUAGAACGCUUGAACUUGCAUCCAAGUAGGUAGGGCAUGAUGUGGGCACUUCCUUAGCAUAUCCUUGUAUCUGUCCCAUGCUUCAUAAAAAGGUUCCAUGUCAUUCUGAGCAAAUGACAUGAUGUCAUUCCUGAGUUUCGCAGUCUUUGCAAGAGGAAAGAAUUUAGCUAAAAAUUUAUUGGCCAAGUCGUCCUAUGUAGUAAUCGAAUUAGGUGGUUGAGAAUUCAACCACGACUUUGCCUUUUCCUUUAAUGAGAAAGGAAAAAGCCUUAAGCGAACAACAUCAUUGGUAGCUCCAUUGCACUUAAAUAUGUCACAUAUCUCCAAGAAAUUAGAGAUAUGGCUAUUAGGGUCUUCUUGAGGUAAACCACAAAAGAUGGAGGAUUGCUGAAUCAUUGAAAUUAUGGCUGGUUUGAUUUCAAAAUUAUUGGCAUCAAUGGUUGGACGACGAAUGCUCGAUGGUGAUGCCACCACAGAUGAGACAUCAUAGUCCCUUACUGGUUUUGCUUCCUCAGCCAUAGGUGAUGGCUUUUCCAAUAUUGCGUCCUUGCCCCUUUUGAGUUUGUUAAGCUUGUGAAGCGUUCGCUCGAUCUCUAGAUCUAAUGGUACAAGCACAAGACUCUGCGAACGUCUCCCAAAACUCAUGCACUAGGUGAAGUACCUAAAAAAACAAAAAACAAAAUUCAAAUUAAAAAAAUUCAAAUUAAAAUCCAAAUCAAUCUAUAUCGAUAUUAAUAAAAUUUAAAACACUCCCCGACGGGGGUGCCAAAAACUUGUUGUGAUAUUUAUUGCAAGCGCACAAUUCGCACAAGUAAUAUAGUGAUGACUGAAGUGUCGUUCCCACGAAGAGUGAUUUAAUUUACCAAGUACCGAUUGUGAUUAACCCAAGACUUUAUUUGAACAAUUGAUGAUGAGAUUUGAUUGAUUAAUUAACUAAAACAAUGAAUAAAAACAAGCGUAGAAAAAUAAAGUAGUGAGAUUCAAGUUAUGAGAGCACUAGAGCUUCCGAUUUCACCAUAGCCAAUUCUACCCAAUUCCCUUAGCAUGUUAAUCCUAAUUAUUCUCUAUGUUGACAGUUGAUUUUCCCUACUUUAUUCGAUACUCCAUCCCUGGUUAUAUCAAAAGUAUUCUCAUUACCAACCCACUCUAUCCAUAGUAAUGGAAUUAAGAUAAUAAGAACCCAUUAAAUUCCUUGGAAAACCUACAAAACAACCACAUAAGUCAUGACAAACAUCCCUGUCUAAUCAUGUAACUCAUGGCAUCUAUUACAAGAAGCAACCCCAAAUUGGAUAUUCCUAUCGUCAAUUUAGCAUCAAAACAAUUAAAUGUUGGCCAAACAUUCAAAGCAUUAAGCAUGGUAAUAAAUACUCAAGAUGGAAAAAAUACUUGGAAUUAACAUCGACUAAAGUAAUUGAGUAUUCAUGGCUAGGCUACAUCGUAGCCCUAGCAAGAAGAAAUUAGUUCAUGACAACUUUAAUAAAAACCAUGAUAAAUAGUAUCAUAGGAAAGAAGUAACCAAUUGAAGAUUUGAUCUCUGCACGACAGCAACUCUAGCUCCAGGUUGUCUUCUUUGUCUCUCUAAAACUCUCUCAACAAUAGAUGAUGGGUAGAUGAUGGAGGAUGGAUGAUGGGUAAUGGAUCCUUUCAACAAUGACCUAAACUCCCUAUUUAUAAAACUCCUAGAAAUCCUACCUAAGGAAUAAUUACAAUUGUUAUAAAAAUAGGAUUCCUUCUAAAAUAAGGUCUUCUUUAUUUCUUCUUGUUUGACUUGAUAAGACUUGCACCAUCUUGAACUAGGAAAUUUGACAACAUUCCUUGCAACAAAAGGAAUGACUUGGCUUCUUUUUAAUUGAUCUUCAUCUCCUUGCCUUUUUUAGCACAUUUUCUCCUAUUUCACAAUUCCUUCACAAAUCUCACAAAACCAAUUAAAAACAACCAAUUUAAUCUAAAAAAUUAAUAAAUAAAUAAACAAAGGAGGCAUAAAAUAUAUAUAUAUAAAAUAUAGACUUAUCACUAUAUAUAUAUUCUUUACAAAAAUUUAAAGCUCCUUAAAGCCCAUAGAAACCGGUAAAGUCACAGUUUUUUUGACUUUUGAAUAUGGGCAAUACACGAGAAGAUGGACAGUAUUUUGAUAACUCUGUUUAGACUAAAAGCUAAGGACUGUCUAUUAACAAAUAAUUCCAACAUGCAACCUUUUUAAUUAGUCUACUUCCUGAUUGCAGAUGGGGAAGAACUCCACUUAAUGAAGCCCGCAUAGGUGGAAAUAAGAAACUAAUCAAACUGUUUGAAGUUGCUAGAACUUUGUAGUUGUCAGAGUUAUCUAAUCAAUAUCAUCAAGAAAUUAGCUAGCUAAGCAUUUCUCUGAUCAAAAUGAUAAAUUGUCGAUCGGCAAUACAUUUAUCCUUUGAUUAAAUGAUAAAUGUUUAUAAGACUUGGAACAAAAGUUCUGAGAUGUUAUAUGUGUGAAUUUUGUUAGAAUCUUUAAUUCUCUUUUCGAUUUUCUAAUAUGCGUACCUUGGAAAAUAUGAAUUGAACUAUUAUUAUUGUUGAUCUGACUUGGCAAUUCUCAGCGUCAAUUAUUCUUACUAGGCUUGUAAUAAUCAAGGAUCGAGUAAUUAAUUAAUUAAAGCUCUUGAAUCAUGGAAGUAAUGCAUGAAUGCAUCAAGUAAUCCGGAUCAGAAUAGUAAAACCAAAGAAGCACAACUUUUAUUCCCGCAGAUAGUCUUAGCCUAGGUUACAUAAAUUAAUGCAUGAAUGCAUGAGCAGCAGCUGCAUGCAAUAUUAUUGAACCCAAAUCACAACAAAAGGAAAACUUAAGACAAUGCCACUUUCGCAGGGAACGCGAUUGCAUUUAGCGUAUGCAACAAGCCUUUUAAACCUAUAGGUGACCCUGAUAGGACGAGUGAAGUCUCGUGAGGGUUUCCAGUGACGCUACCCACAAACAUCGUAUUAACUUAACAGGAUGAUCAUCCUGGAAGUUUUUCGACAAUGAAGAAAUGUUCAUGGGUGGGGCCUCCAGGUUCUGCAAUGAGGGCAUUUUCGAACUCGUUUCCAGAUUUUGGCUUUAAAAGGUUUCCCAUUUUCUCAUGGUGGAACUUGUAUAUGCCUUCGGUGUACGGUCCUGGUGGUUUCACAACCUCAGGCUUGAAGAGUGUACAUGACCACAGCGUUUUAUUUGGCUGUUUCUCGUCAGCCCCGGCCACAAUCCACGAACUGUCUUGGCUUGCCGUUAUCCAGUAUUUGUCGUUGUAGGUGGAUUUUAUAUGCACCAGACUGGGGAGGUUUACGUCCUUCUCCACUUUGAACCUUGCGUAUUUGCUCUGAACAUCCUCUCCGGAGCAUUGGAGAAUAUCUUGCAUCUUUUCGGUGGCUUGGUCUUUGUAGACCAAGUAUUUACCGCUCGUGAAUGAUUUAAGAGCAAUGAACUUUGGUAAUUCUGCCAUUUCUGAUGAUCUCUCGCUCGCGCUUCAAUUUUUUUUUAUGUAAACUCACUUCUCUCUCUCUCUCUCGUUGCUUAUUGCUUUUCCUAACUCCAACCUGCUGUGCUAUUUAUAAUCAAGCAAACCCAAACCCUGCAUGCAGCUCUGGCUUCUUUUUCUUGCUGUACUGGCCCGCGAUAAGAAAAUUGAAGCCACAAAAAAAAAAAGUCGAGCCAGGUGGCAGUUUUGAAAGGUCAAGUAAUAUUGUUCUUGAUAUAAAACAAACUAAAGCGUGCUCCACGUCUUCAAAUAAAACAAAGUUAAGGCUAGUAAUUAUCGACAUCGAUAUUUUGCGAUAUUAUCGUCGAUAUUGUCAAUAUUUAUACGAUAUGUACAUGGAUAUGUUUCGAAAUAUCCGUGAUUCAAAAAAACCGAAAUAUCCUCGAUAUUUCCUCGAUAUUAUCGAUAUUUCAGACUAUGAUGUGAACUUGAUUAUGUAAUUUCUACUACAUGCACUUAUGGGACAUAACCAUUUAUCAAUUAUAAUAAUGUCACAUAAAAAUUGAAGCCACAAAAAAAAAAAAGUCAAGCCAGGUGGCAGUUUUGAAAGGUCAAGUAAUAAUGUUCUUGAUAUAAAACAAACUAAAGCGUGCUUCACGUCUUCAAAUAAAACAAAGUUAAGCCUAGUAAUCUAUUCUCUGUUGUAAUGUGAACUUGAUUAUGUAAUUUCUACUACAUGCACUUAUGGACAUAACCAUUUAUCAAUUAUAAUAAUGUCAUCGACUAGGACUGAACAGCGACGGCUGAAGGCCCAGCUCAUUCUUAAUCUUAGGCAACACAUGUGCUGGGUUUCAUUUCAUAAAUUCAUAACCAAACCAAGCUAGGUCAUAGAAGGAAGCAAAUUAAGCAAUUGAAAUCCACAUCGGCUGAAAAAAUCUCUCUUGAAAAACCAUAUAAUUGGAGGGUCUGCAAAACUAGACUGUGUGUACGUAGCCAACUUUAUUAAAAUGCCAAUUCAAGUCCUAUGAACACACAUUUCCUUGAAAGUUGCUGGCCAAAUUUUCUUUGUUUUGGUUUUCAAUGAGUUCGAUUUCCUUGAGCAUCACUGAAAAGAUAUUAUAUAUGUGAAAUCUUUUUGUCAGUCUUUGAAUUUACCCAAUGUGGGUGAUCAAUUUUUAUGAUUGCAUUCUAGACUUCUCCUUAGUACAAAACAAAACUACGUGAUUGAUUGAAACGUCAUUAAUUAAUUUAGACAUAUAGGCAUUUGCAUUAAUUCAUUCUAGAUAGUAGAUACACAUCUCCAUAACGCAGAAAGAAUUAGCAUGUCCUUAAUGUGAACUUCGUUAAUAAAUUGAAGAGGAGUUGGAGAACAGUUAGAUGAAUGAAUUAAAGAGGAGUUGGAGAGACGCGGAUGCAAGGGCACACUAAGAAAACUACAGGGUUUAUUUAUAGUUUUAGUGCUAAUAAUGGGUAUAUGACUAAAUAUCUCUAUAAAAAAAAUUAGUGAAUUUAAUCAGAAUGUAAUGACUUAUAGAAUUUUACCUUGGGGCACUUUAAGUCCGUUCCUCCUUAAUAAAGCAUCACUUAAUAGAUUUGAAUUAUGAGCUGAACCCUCCCACCCGCUAAAAACGUAAAUGAAUUCUAAAUCAAAGUUACAAGCUACUGAAACCAUUUAUCAAUUAUAAUUAUGUCAUUAAUUAGGAUUGAACAAUAUGAUUGUAAUGCCAUUUCUAAAGCGUGCUUCACGUCUUCAAAUAAAACAAAGUUAGGCCUAGUAUUUUCUUCUUUAUUGUUUCGGUGCUUAAUGUGAACUUCAUUAUGUAACUUCUAUUACUUGUACUUAAGGGCCAUAGCCA
This 19895-nucleotide long non-coding RNA is filed under the name Prunus persica (peach). RNAcentral describes it as "long non-coding RNA (PPER_LNC005542)". The stretch from base 5612 to 5718 matches the Rfam family "Plant small nucleolar RNA R71". Lineage: Eukaryota; Viridiplantae; Streptophyta; Magnoliopsida; Rosales; Rosaceae. The record is from RNAcentral.